RNAcentral lists this ribosomal RNA (397 nucleotides) under uncultured bacterium. Its description in RNAcentral is "partial 16S ribosomal RNA". It matches the Rfam family "Bacterial small subunit ribosomal RNA", at positions 523 to 918 of the family's 1533-position model. The record is from RNAcentral.
AUACGUAGGGGGCGAGCGUUGUCCGGAAUGAUUGGGCGUAAAGGGCGCGUAGGCGGCUUUGCAAGUCAGUAGUGGAAGUCCAUUUUUCAAGGAUGGAAGUGCUACAGAAACUGCGGAGCUUGAGUGCAGGAGAGGUUAUCGGAAUUCCCGGUGUAGCGGUGAAAUGCGUAGAGAUCGGGAGGAACACCAGUGGCGAAGGCGGGUAACUGGACUGCAACUGACGCUGAGGCGCGAAAGUGUGGGGAGCAAACAGGAUUAGAUACCCUGGUAGUCCACACUGUAAACGAUGAAUGCUAGGUGUAGGAGGUAUCGACCCCUUCUGUGCCGCAGUAAACACAGUAAGCAUUCCGCCUGGGGAGUACGGUCGCAAGAUUAAAACUCAAAGGAAUGGACGGGG